CUGCGUCAAAUUCAAAUUUCAAACGCGCCAUUUUACAACUGUAAACUGUUAUUUCACUUCGUCUGUCUUCCUUCGCUUGGCGUUUUAUAUACUUUCGACACAAUUUUAGUGUUUUAAAAAAUGGCCAAUUGUGCGAUUUCUUUGUUGAAAGAAAUAUGAAGGCAAGUUCCCGAGGCAGCGUCUCUUAUCGAAGGGCCAAUUCUUCAAAGUUAUAUGGUACUCCUUAGGCACUGGUGUAUGGACUACUAUGAAAAAUGUGUUCACAACAGCAUAUUAUCAGAUGGAUCUGGAUUAUCCACCUGAACAUGAGAUAAGUCUCACAUUUCUGCAUUACAUGGUGUUUGUUGAUAUAGCUGUGCUAAGCCUUUUAUUGUUUAUAUUUUAGGGCCAUCUCAAUGUUGUUAAGCCAUUUGCAAGGGGAAAACAUUUUGCAAACUGACGACUCUGAAUCCAUAAGGUUUUCAAAGGGACAAAUUUACUGGUGGACAUUACCGCAAAAUAAUUUUUCUGGAGUCAGUGAUGGUGAAGAAUGGGGACAAGGCAACUCAAUGGAUGGCCUGAAAUUCGGCAAAGUCUCAAUCAGAAGUGCCUGGACAAAGUAAGACAGAACAAAAAAAUAUCAAUGUCUACAGAACUAAAAGACUAAAAAGAUGAACAUUAAUUUGAACUUUAUCUGGGGUAAUAUUUGUCUUAUAUUUUGAUUGAGUAAUUUUUUAUGUAAUGCAA
This is a long non-coding RNA of Dendronephthya gigantea, 726 nucleotides long. RefSeq lists it as uncharacterized. The transcript has 4 exons. Lineage: Eukaryota; Metazoa; Cnidaria; Anthozoa; Malacalcyonacea; Nephtheidae. The record is from RefSeq and is a predicted model, not a curated record.